CCUUCGAUAGCUCAGUUGGAAGAGCGCGAGACUGUAAUGGUUACGUAAUCUUGAGGUCGCUGGUUCGAUCCCGGCUCGAAGGA
This 83-nucleotide transfer RNA is filed under the name Rhodofomes roseus. RNAcentral's name for it is "Fomitopsis rosea tRNA-Tyr". It matches the Rfam family "tRNA". From Rfam's summary of the family: Transfer RNA (tRNA) molecules are approximately 80 nucleotides in length. Their secondary structure includes four short double-helical elements and three loops (D, anti-codon, and T loops). Further hydrogen bonds mediate the characteristic L-shaped molecular structure. tRNAs have two regions of fundamental functional importance: the anti-codon, which is responsible for specific mRNA codon recognition, and the 3' end, to which the tRNAs corresponding amino acid is attached (by aminoacyl-tRNA synthetases). tRNAs cope with the degeneracy of the genetic code in two manners: having more than one tRNA (with a specific anti-codon) for a particular amino acid; and 'wobble' base-pairing, i.e. permitting non-standard base-pairing at the 3rd anti-codon position. Lineage: Eukaryota; Fungi; Basidiomycota; Agaricomycetes; Polyporales; Fomitopsidaceae. The record is from RNAcentral.